This 446-nucleotide ribosomal RNA is filed under the name uncultured bacterium. RNAcentral describes it as "bacterial SSU rRNA". It matches the Rfam family "Bacterial small subunit ribosomal RNA", at positions 331 to 793 of the family's 1533-position model. The record is from RNAcentral.
CCAGACUCCUACGGGAGGCAGCAGUCGGGAAUAUUGCGCAAUGGAGGAAACUCUGACGCAGUGACGCCGCGUGCAGGAAGAAGGUUUUCGGAUUGUAAACUGCUUUAGACAGGGAAGAAACAAGACAGUACCUGUAGAAUAAGCUCCGGCUAACUACGUGCCAGCAGCCGCGGUAAUACGUAGGGAGCAAGCGUUAUCCGGAUUUAUUGGGUGUAAAGGGUGCGUAGACGGAGAAGCAAGUUAGUUGUGAAAUCCCUCGGCUUAACUGAGGAACUGCAACUAAAACUACUUCCCUUGAGUGCUGGAGAGGAAAGUGGAAUUCCUAGUGUAGCGGUGAAAUGCGUAGAUAUUAGGAGGAACACCAGUGGCGAAGGCGACUUUCUGGACAGUAACUGACGUUGAGGCACGAAAGUGUGGGGAGCAAACAGGAUUAGAUACCCUCGUAC